UUGAACGCUGGCGGCAGGCCUAACACAUGCAAGUCGAGCGGAUGAAGGGAGCUUGCUCCUGGAUUCAGCGGCGGACGGGUGAGUAAUGCCUAGGAAUCUGCCUGGUAGUGGGGGAUAACGUCCGGAAACGGGCGCUAAUACCGCAUACGUCCUGAGGGAGAAAGUGGGGGAUCUUCGGACCUCACGCUAUCGGAUGAGCCUAGGUCGGAUUAGCUAGUUGGUGGGGUAAAGGCCUACCAAGGCGACGAUCCGUAACUGGUCUGAGAGGAUGAUCAGUCACACUGGAACUGAGACACGGUCCAGACUCCUACGGGAGGCAGCAGUGGGGAAUAUUGGACAAUGGGCGAAAGCCUGAUCCAGCCAUGCCGCGUGUGUGAAGAAGGUCUUCGGAUUGUAAAGCACUUUAAGUUGGGAGGAAGGGCAGUAAGUUAAUACCUUGCUGUUUUGACGUUACCAACAGAAUAAGCACCGGCUAACUUCGU
This 482-nucleotide ribosomal RNA is filed under the name uncultured bacterium. RNAcentral's name for it is "partial 16S ribosomal RNA". It matches the Rfam family "Bacterial small subunit ribosomal RNA", at positions 30 to 506 of the family's 1533-position model. The record is from RNAcentral.